UCAAUAUAAGAGAAAUGAUCGUGU
Molecule: non-coding RNA, 24 nt
Filed under: Arabidopsis thaliana (thale cress)
Lineage: Eukaryota; Viridiplantae; Streptophyta; Magnoliopsida; Brassicales; Brassicaceae
Source: RNAcentral